GACGUAGGAUGCAAGCGUUGUCCGGAUUUAUUGGGCGUAAAGAGUUCGUAGGUGGUUUGUUAAGUCUGGUGUAAAAGGCUGGGGCUCAACCCUGGUACCGCACUGGAUACUGGCAGACUGGAGUGCAGUAGAGGCAAGCGGAAUUCCCAGUGUAGCGGUGAAAUGCGUAGAUAUUGGGAAGAACACCGGUGGCGCAAGCGGCUUGCUGGGCUGUUACUGACACUGAGGAACGAAAGCUAGGGGAGCAAAUGGG
Molecule: ribosomal RNA, 253 nt
Filed under: uncultured prokaryote
Description: partial 16S ribosomal RNA
Rfam family: Bacterial small subunit ribosomal RNA
Source: RNAcentral